Molecule: ribosomal RNA, 482 nt
Filed under: uncultured bacterium
Lineage: Bacteria
Description: bacterial SSU rRNA
Rfam family: Bacterial small subunit ribosomal RNA
Source: RNAcentral
AUUGAACGCUGGCGGCAUGCCUUACACAUGCAAGUCGAACGGUAACGCGGGGCAACCUGGCGACGAGUGGCGAACGGGUGAGUAAUAUAUCGGAACGUGCCCAGUAGUGGGGGAUAGCCCGGCGAAAGCCGGAUUAAUACCGCAUACGACCUAAGGGUGAAAGCGGGGGAUCGCAAGACCUCGCGCUAUUGGAGCGGCCGAUAUCAGAUUAGGUAGUUGGUGGGGUAAAGGCCUACCAAGCCGACGAUCUGUAGCUGGUCUGAGAGGACGACCAGCCACACUGGGACUGAGACACGGCCCAGACUCCUACGGGAGGCAGCAGUGGGGAAUUUUGGACAAUGGGCGCAAGCCUGAUCCAGCCAUGCCGCGUGCGGGAAGAAGGCCUUCGGGUUGUAAACCGCUUUUGUCAGGGAAGAAAUCUUCUGGGUUAAUACCUCGGGAGGAUGACGGUACCUGAAGAAUAAGCACCGGCUAACUACGUG